AGUAUCUUCAGUUGUAGCCUAUAGUUUCAAAAGCGUUCUAGCGUCGCUUCAAUGAAUGCGCCCCCCUCGAUGUCAUUCGUUGGCGCUUAAUUUCUGCACGAUCCGUGCCGCGCUUUGGAAAAACUGCAUCUUGCCAAAGAGCGUGGAAAUCUACUUGUAUAUUUUACACAGCAAAGGUGCUUCUUCGUGCGCUGACUUGGUUGCUAUUUUCUCUUCCGUCUUUCUGUGAGCUCGAAUGUCAGUGGAAUAAUUAGAAAUACAGCUUUUGCUUUAACUCUCUUCUUCGGUCUCCUAACGUCAACGACGUCGCCUCUCUUUUUUUCGCUCUUGGCUGGAGGUCCACUGGAAUAUAAACGCAGUGAGUUUGAGCGGUGAAGCGGCAUUCCUCGCGCCGCGCUCGAGACGUGUGCGGAUCUUGACCGCGCGCUGCAGCAACGGCCAAUCCAUCUAUCUCCACACAUCAGCGCGCGCUGGACGUGCAGGUUCGCGGACAGUUCUUGCUUUAAAGUUAACAAAUAACGUUUUUGUGAGUCAUAACCAAUGAAUGUGAAACUAAAUAAUACAAUUUUCCAUAAAAAUGGUUUUUAAUGAGAGAACUCACAUCGACGCCAUGUGAAUGUGUCAUUUUUCAGAGCUCUUCUCUGUGAGAGAACGUUUUGUCCGUUACGAUGUACUUCGAAUAACCGACUUUUUUCCUGCUCGCGCUCGUUUUAUCGCGUUUAAUAACGAUGGCCACCGAAAUUCGCUUUGACAAUCGGAAUAUUGUGGAGAAAUACAUCAAUCACAAACUUUCAAAGAAGGGAUAUGUGUGGAAAUCUCAAUCUUCUGGGGAGGAUGAUGACACCGCCAAUAAAGGAAUCGAGGGUUCCUCUCUAAACUCUGGCAGGAGGCUUCAGGCUCCCUCAGCCGGAGGGGGGAACAACUCUGAAUGCCUGAUAGCUCACCGGGUCACUCGUUCAGACCCUUAUUCAAGGAUCUACCGGGCGCUACGCGAGGCUGGAGACGAGAUAGAAAGGCUAUACCAGCGUGAAUUUGAGGAGAUGUCCCACCGCAUGAUAUUCAGUCCCAAUACAACGCAACGCAGCUUCUUAGCCGUGGCAGAAGAGCUCUUUAAAGACGGAGUGAACUGGGGGCGGAUCAUCGCUUUCUUUGAGUUUGGUGGGACCAUGUGUGUGGAGAGCGUCAACCGGGAGAUGGCGUCCCAGGUAGAUAAUAUUGCACACUGGAUGACAGACUACCUGAACGGGCCUCUGGAAAACUGGAUCGAGGAAAAUGGAGGCUGGGAUGCCUUCGUGGAGUUGUACAGUCAGCAGAGAGACUCAGUGUUCCACCCAUUUUCGUACCUAACUAAAGUACUUGGAUUGGCAGUGCUCGGCUUGGCAGGAGUGACCAUCGGAGCCUUUUUCGCUCAGAAGUGACGGCUCUACAGGUCUCUUCACCAAACUAUCUCUCUUUCUCUGACUGUCUCUCCUCUUCAGCUUAUCAAAGCAUCUUUCAGCGCCGCACUGCCCUGCUAAGCCCAGCACCAGUGCCCUUCAAAGGCUGCCGCUGAUCCGGCGCCCCUCCAGCCACAGGCUCGCUGGAGUGAAGAAAACACGAAGAAAAAGAAUACAGAAUACAGAAUGAGGACUCACAGGAACGCUCCCACACUUUGACUAUAAUGCUCGUCACUGCCAUGUACAGUUGCACUCGCACGGAGAUCGACACACAAAGCACGUGCACACACAGACACUUGCUCGCAUACUUCAUAUGCAGAAAAAAAAAAAAAAAAAAAACAUUUUAUCUUUAAAGUUUGUUUCUCAUGUAUGAAACAAGUACAAAGAGAUUUUUAAACUUCAGAUUGUGCUUUUUGGACAUUUUGAUAUCAGGUUUUUUUGGCAUUUUGUAGCAUGAAUCAAAAAAAAAAAA
RNA transcript from Sinocyclocheilus rhinocerous, 1908 nucleotides. It is a transcript of the gene named apoptosis regulator Bcl-2-like, with no coding region annotated. The transcript has 3 exons. NCBI's taxonomy places the organism in Eukaryota, Metazoa, Chordata, Actinopteri, Cypriniformes, Cyprinidae. The record is from RefSeq and is a predicted model, not a curated record.